UACGGAGGGGGUUAGCGUUGUUCGGAAUUACUGGGCGUAAAGCGCACGUAGGCGGAUUAGAAAGUUAGAGGUGAAAUCCCAGGGGCUCAACCCUGGAACUGCCUUUAAAACUCCUAGUCUUGAGUUCGAGAGAGGUGAGUGGAAUUCCAAGUGUAGAGGUGAAAUUCGUAGAUAUUGGAGGAACACCAGUGGCGAAGGCGGCUCACUGGCUCGAUACUGACGCUGAGGUGCGAAAGUGU
Molecule: ribosomal RNA, 239 nt
Filed under: uncultured bacterium
Lineage: Bacteria
Description: partial 16S ribosomal RNA
Rfam family: Bacterial small subunit ribosomal RNA
Source: RNAcentral